UGGGGAAUCUUGCGCAAUGGACGAAAGUCUGACGCAGCGACGCCGCGUGGGGGAUGAAGGUUUUCGGAUCGUAAACCCCUGUUGCCCGGGACGAACUUCCUCUUUCGAGAGGAUUGACGGUACCGGGUGAGGAAGCACCGGCUAACUCUGUGCCAGCAGCCGCGGUAAUACAGAGGGUGCGAGCGUUGUCCGGAAUCACUGGGCGUAAAGGGCGCGUAGGUGGCGCUGCAAGUCGGUGGUGAAAGCUCGAUGCUUAACAUCGAGUCGGCCAUCGAAACUGCAGGGCUCGAGCACUGUAGGGGCAGAUGGAAUUCCGGGUGUAGCGGUGGAAUGCGUAGAGAUCCGGAAGAACACCGGUGGCGAAGGCGGUCUGCUGGGCAGUUGCUGACACUGAGGCGCGACAGCGUGGGGAGCAAACAG
Molecule: ribosomal RNA, 420 nt
Filed under: uncultured bacterium
Lineage: Bacteria
Description: bacterial SSU rRNA
Rfam family: Bacterial small subunit ribosomal RNA
Source: RNAcentral